AUGGGCGCCGUCGCUGCUCUCCUCCUAGCCGGUCUACUCGCCGCGCUCACGUACGUGCUUCGCGCGCUCCACUCCAUCGUAUGGGUCCCGCACCGCCUGGAGCGCCGUCUGCGCCGUCAGGGCAUCCGGGGCCCUCCGCGCAGCCUGCUCUCCGGGAACGCGGCCGAAUACGUCGCCAUGACCAAAGCCGCCCAGUCCAAGCCGCUCGCCUCCUUCCACCACGCCUUCAUCGGCCGCGCCGCGCCGCAGUACCGCGAGUGGGCGGCGCGGUACGGCUGCCCGUUCGUGUUCUGGUUCGGGCCCCGGCCGCGGUUGGUGGUCUCCGGCCCGGAGGUCGCGAAGGCCGUGCUGACCGACUCCACGGGGGCCUUCGAGAAGGGUACCACCGGCAGCGGCAACAACCCGCAAGCUCGGCAGCUCAUCGGCGAGGGGCUGGUGGGGCUCACCGGGGAGAAGUGGGCGCACCACCGCCGUGUGACCUCGCCCGCCUUCAACAUGGAGAGAGUCAAGGGUUGGAUACCAGAAAUAUCAGCUAUCACUUUAUCCAUGCUGGAUAAAUGGGAAGUCCAAGGAGAAACUCGAGCAGAGUUUGAGAUCGAUGUAAAUAAAGAAUUCCACACUUUGAGUGCGGAUGUCAUUUCUUGCGUGGCAUUUGGAAGUAGCUACGAGGAAGGAAAGCGAAUUUUUCAAUUGCAAGAUGAACAGAUACAACUUGUCAUACUUGCUAUGAGAACCUUCUACUUUCCUGGCUUCAGGUAUGUGCCGACAAAGAAGAACCGAAGAAGGCAUAGCCUAAACAAGGAAAUCCGAAAUUCCCUGCGCAGAUUGAUUGAGAUAAAUCGAAACAAGUGUGAAGAUUCCAAAAAUUUGCUUGGCUUAAUGCUAUCAGCCAGCAAAGCUGACAAUGAGUUUAAAAUGGGAAUCGAAGAAAUCAUUGAUGAGUGCAAGACAUUUUACUUUGCCGGCAAGGAAACAACUGCAAAUUUGUUGACUUGGGCAACGCUUCUGCUGGCAUUGAAUCAAGAAUGGCAACACAAGGCCCGAGAUGAAGUCCUUCAAGUGUGUGGCAAGAACGAGCACCCAAACGCGGAAACUCUGAGCAGUCUGAAAAUUGUUAAUAUGGUGUUGAAAGAGACCCUCAGGCUGUAUCCUCCAGCUCUGUUCGUCAACAGGACAGUCACUAGGGAUGUGAAGCUGGGCAAACUUGACAUCCCUGCGGGUACGCAGGUCAAUCUUCCUAUUGUUGACACUCACCAUGAUGUCGGCAUAUGGGGAGUUAAUGCGGAGGAGUUCGAUCCAUCGAGGUUUGCAGAUGGCAAGAGCUAUCACCUUGGUGCAUACUUCCCCUUUGGGAUUGGCCCUGCCAUCUGUGUUGGCCAGAAUCUCGCGAUGGUCGAGGCAAAGUUGGUGCUUGCAAUAGUGCUCCAGCGGUUUGCGUUUGAUGUCUCGCCAUCCUAUGUUCAUGCACCAAUGAUGGUGAUGACCCUCCAACCCCAGUAUGGUGCUCAACUUCGUAUCCGCAAGAUCUGA
RNAcentral lists this ribosomal RNA (1530 nucleotides) under Triticum aestivum (bread wheat). RNAcentral's name for it is "partial small subunit ribosomal RNA". Lineage: Eukaryota; Viridiplantae; Streptophyta; Magnoliopsida; Poales; Poaceae. The record is from RNAcentral.